Molecule: unclassified non-coding RNA, 355 nt
Filed under: soil metagenome
Description: partial contains 5.8S ribosomal RNA, internal transcribed spacer 2, and large subunit ribosomal RNA
Rfam family: 5.8S ribosomal RNA (bases 2-121)
Source: RNAcentral
GGAUGAAGAACGCAGCGAAAUGCGAUAAGUAAUGUGAAUUGCAGAAUUCAGUGAAUCAUCGAAUCUUUGAACGCACAUUGCGCCCAUUAGUAUUCUAGUGGGCAUGCCUGUUCGAGCGUCAUUAAUUCCACUUAAGCCUAGCUUAGUGUUGGGAGACUGCUCCAGUGGUGCUACCCUGUAGCUACCCUGCAGCUCCUUAAAGACAGCGGCGGAGUCGUGUUAUCCUCUGAGCUUAGUAAUUAUUCUAGCUUUCGAGUACAUCACUUCCCUUGCCGUUAAACCACCAAUUUUCAAUGGUUGACCUCGGAUCAGGUAGGAAUACCCGCUGAACUUAAGCAUAUCAAUAAGCGGAGGA